GUCCUCACUUCAGCAGUACAUAUACUAAAAUUGGAAUGAUGCAGAGAAGAUUAGCAUGGCCCUGCACAAGGAUGAUAUGCAAAUUCAUGAAGCAUUAUAAAAUAAU
RNAcentral lists this small nuclear RNA (106 nucleotides) under Rhinopithecus roxellana (golden snub-nosed monkey). Lineage: Eukaryota; Metazoa; Chordata; Mammalia; Primates; Cercopithecidae. The record is from RNAcentral.